CCUACGGGGGGCAGCAGUGGGGAAUAUUGGACAAUGGGGGGAACCCUGAUCCAGCCAUGCCGCGUGUGUGAAGAAGGCCCUCGGGUUGUAAAGCACUUUCAGUGAGGAAGAACGCCUGGUGGUUAAUACCCAUCAGGAAAGACAUCACUCACAGAAGAAGCACCGGCUAACUCCGUGCCAGCAGCCGCGGUAAUACGGAGGGUGCGAGCGUUAAUCGGAAUUACUGGGCGUAAAGCGCGCGUAGGUGGCUUGAUAAGCCGGUUGGGAAAGCCCCGGGCUCAACCUGGGAACGGCAUCCGGAACUGUCAAGCUAGAGUGCAGGAGAGGAAGGUAGAAUUCCCGGUGUCGCGGUGAAAUGCGUAGAGAUCGGGAGGAAUACCAGUGGCGAAGGCGGCCUUCUGGACUGACACUGACACUGAGGUGCGAAAGCGUGGGUAGCAAACAGGAUUAGAUACCCCUGGAGUC
RNAcentral lists this ribosomal RNA (465 nucleotides) under Vreelandella stevensii. Its description in RNAcentral is "partial 16S ribosomal RNA". It matches the Rfam family "Bacterial small subunit ribosomal RNA", at positions 338 to 795 of the family's 1533-position model. Lineage: Bacteria; Pseudomonadati; Pseudomonadota; Gammaproteobacteria; Oceanospirillales; Halomonadaceae. The record is from RNAcentral.